GUUUGAUCCUGGCUCAGGAUGAACGCUGGCGGCGUGCCUAAUACAUGCAAGUCGAGCGAACGGACGAGAAGCUUGCUUCUCUGAUGUUAGCGGCGGACGGGUGAGUAACACGUGGAUAACCUACCUAUAAGACUGGGAUAACUUCGGGAAACCGGAGCUAAUACCGGAUAAUAUUUUGAACCGCAUGGUUCAAAAGUGAAAGACGGUCUUGCUGUCACUUAUAGAUGGAUCCGCGCUGCAUUAGCUAGUUGGUAAGGUAACGGCUUACCAAGGCAACGAUGCAUAGCCGACCUGAGAGGGUGAUCGGCCACACUGGAACUGAGACACGGUCCAGACUCCUACGGGAGGCAGCAGUAGGGAAUCUUCCGCAAUGGGCGAAAGCCUGACGGAGCAACGCCGCGUGAGUGAUGAAGGUCUUCGGAUCGUAAAACUCUGUUAUUAGGGAAGAACAUAUGUGUAAGUAACUGUGCACAUCUUGACGGUACCUAAUCAGAAAGCCACGGCUAACUACGUGCCAGCAGCCGCGGUAAUACGUAGGUGGCAAGCGUUAUCCGGAAUUAUUGGGCGUAAAGCGCGCGUAGGCGGUUUUUUAAGUCUGAUGUGAAAGCCCACGGCUCAACCGUGGAGGGUCAUUGGAAACUGGAAAACUUGAGUGCAGAAGAGGAAAGUGGAAUUCCAUGUGUAGCGGUGAAAUGCGCAGAGAUAUGGAGGAACACCAGUGGCGAAGGCGACUUUCUGGUCUGUAACUGACGCUGAUGUGCGAAAGCGUGGGGAUCAAACAGGAUUAGAUACCCUGGUAGUCCACGCCGUAAACGAUGAGUGCUAAGUGUUAGGGGGUUUCCGCCCCUUAGUGCUGCAGCUAACGCAUUAAGCACUCCGCCUGGGGAGUACGACCGCAAGGUUGAAACUCAAAGGAAUUGACGGC
Molecule: ribosomal RNA, 925 nt
Filed under: uncultured bacterium
Lineage: Bacteria
Description: bacterial SSU rRNA
Rfam family: Bacterial small subunit ribosomal RNA
Source: RNAcentral